GACGAACGCUGGCGGCGUGCUUAACACAUGCAAGUCGAACGGAAAGGCCCUGCUUUUGUGGGGUGCUCGAGUGGCGAACGGGUGAGUAACACGUGAGUAACCUGCCCUUGACUUUGGGAUAACUUCAGGAAGCUGGGGCUAAUACCGGAUAGGAGCUCCUGCUGCAUGGUGGGGGUUGGAAAGUUUCGGCGGUUGGGGAUGGACUCGCGGCUUAUCAGCUUGUUGGUGGGGUAGUGGCUUACCAAGGCUUUGACGGGUAGCCGGCGUGAGAGGGUGACCGGCCACAUUGGGACUGAGAUACGGCCCAGACUCCUACGGGAGGCAGCAGUGGGGAAUAUUGCACAAUGGGCGGAAGCCUGAUGCAGCAACGCCGCGUGCGGGAUGACGGCCUUCGGGUUGUAAACCGCUUUCGCCUGUGACGAAGCGUGAGUGACGGUAAUGGGUAAAGAAGCACCGGCUAACUACGUG
RNAcentral lists this ribosomal RNA (468 nucleotides) under uncultured bacterium. RNAcentral describes it as "partial 16S ribosomal RNA". It matches the Rfam family "Bacterial small subunit ribosomal RNA", at positions 28 to 507 of the family's 1533-position model. The record is from RNAcentral.